This 429-nucleotide ribosomal RNA is filed under the name Gemmatimonadota bacterium. RNAcentral's name for it is "Gemmatimonadetes bacterium partial 16S ribosomal RNA". It matches the Rfam family "Bacterial small subunit ribosomal RNA", at positions 355 to 776 of the family's 1533-position model. The record is from RNAcentral. Lineage: Bacteria; Pseudomonadati; Gemmatimonadota.
UAGGGAAUCUUCGGCAAUGGACGAAAGUCUGACCGAGCAACGCCGCGUGAGGGAAGAAGGUUUUCGGAUCGUAAAACUCUGUUGUUAGAGAAGAACAAGGACGUUAGUAACUGAACGUCCCCUGACGGUACCUAACCAGAAAGCCACGGCUAACUACGUGCCAGCAGCCGCGGUAAUACGUAGGUGGCAAGCGUUGUCCGGAUUUAUUGGGCGUAAAGCGAGCGCAGGCGGUUUCUUAAGUCUGAUGUGAAAGCCCCCGGCUCAACCGGGGAGGGUCAUUGGGAACUGGGGGGCUUGAGGGCAGAAGAGGAGAGUGGAAUUCCAUGUGUAGCGGUGAAAUGCGUAGAUAUAUGGAGAAACACCAGUGGCGAAGGCGGCUCUCUGGUCUGUAACUGCCGCUGAGGCUCGAACGCGUGGGGAGCAAACAGG